Molecule: ribosomal RNA, 576 nt
Filed under: uncultured bacterium
Lineage: Bacteria
Description: bacterial SSU rRNA
Rfam family: Bacterial small subunit ribosomal RNA
Source: RNAcentral
ACGGGUGAGUAAUGUCUGGGAAACUGCCUGAUGGAGGGGGAUAACUACUGGAAACGGUAGCUAAUACCGCAUAACCUCGCAAGAGCAAAGAGGGGGACCUUCGGGCCUCUCGCCAUCAGAUGUGCCCAGAUGGGAUUAGCUAGUAGGUGAGGUAAUGGCUCACCUAGGCGACGAUCCCUAGCUGGUCUGAGAGGAUGACCAGCCACACUGGAACUGAGACACGGUCCAGACUCCUACGGGAGGCAGCAGUGGGGAAUAUUGCACAAUGGGCGCAAGCCUGAUGCAGCCAUGCCGCGUGUGUGAAGAAGGCCUUCGGGUUGUAAAGCACUUUCAGCGAGGAGGAAGGCGGUAAGGUUAAUAACCUUAUCGAUUGACGUUACUCGCAGAAGAAGCACCGGCUAACUCCGUGCCAGCAGCCGCGGUAAUACGGAGGGUGCAAGCGUUAAUCGGAAUGACUGGGCGUAAAGCGCACGCAGGCGGUCUGUUAAGUUGGAUGUGAAAUCCCCGGGCUUAACCUGGGAACUGCAUUCAAAACUGACAGGCUAGAGUCUUGUAGAGGGGGGUAGAAUUCCAGGU